Molecule: ribosomal RNA, 391 nt
Filed under: uncultured soil bacterium
Lineage: Bacteria
Description: bacterial SSU rRNA
Rfam family: Bacterial small subunit ribosomal RNA
Source: RNAcentral
AGAUUGAACGCUAGCGGGAUGCUUUACACAUGCAAGUCGAACGGCAGCACGGGGGCAACCCUGGUGGCGAGUGGCGAACGGGUGAGUAACAUAUCGGAACGUGCCCUGGAGUGGGGGAUAACUAGUCGAAAGACUAGCUAAUACCGCAUACGAUCUACGGAUGAAAGUGGGGGAUCGCAAGACCUCAUGCUCGUGGAGCGGCCGAUAUCUGAUUAGCUUAGUUGGUGGGGUAAAGGCCUACCAAGGCAUCGAUCAGUAGCUGGUCUGAGAGGACGACCGGCCACACUGGGACUGAGACACGGCCAGACUCCUACGGGAGGCAGCAGUGGGAAUUUUGGACAAUGGGGGGAAACCCUGAAGUCCAGUCCAGUCCCGCGUGGUGCGAGUCGGA